RNAcentral lists this small RNA (156 nucleotides) under chicken gut metagenome. RNAcentral describes it as "M-box riboswitch (ykoK leader)". It matches the Rfam family "M-box riboswitch aptamer (ykoK leader)". From Rfam's summary of the family: M-box riboswitch, also know as ykoK leader is described as a metaloregulatory RNA that sense divalent metals and function as a genetic control element of genes related to divalent metal transport in bacteria. The record is from RNAcentral.
CCUUCGUUAGGUAAGGCUCCUGUGUGGAGAUACGCUACUGCCCAAAAACGUCCAAAGACGCCAAUGGGUCAACAGGAAUCAUCGACAUAAGGUGAUUUUUAAUGUAGCUGGUGUUAUACCUAUGCCGCACAGUGCUAAAGCUCUACGAUUGGAGGA